RNAcentral lists this long non-coding RNA (3021 nucleotides) under Vigna radiata. RNAcentral describes it as "long non-coding RNA (VRAD_LNC007802)". Lineage: Eukaryota; Viridiplantae; Streptophyta; Magnoliopsida; Fabales; Fabaceae. The record is from RNAcentral.
UUUUGGUAGAAGCCUAUAUUCUUAUCCAUCCUGAUUCAGAGUGAACUUGAGUGGGCUUAUCCAUGGACCCAAUUAAGGGCCCAACUCUCAUUCUUUUGGAAGGGGGGGUCACGCUUGCAGUGACUCAUUUUGUUCCUUUCUAUUUUCUCUCGUCUUGAAUGUGCACGGCAGAAGGAAGUUCUUUCCUUUCUCUUCUCCUUUUCCGCGAGCAGUGGCGAGGCGAUGAUGGAGCGAUGGUGUUACGAGUUCGUGACGACUAAGUGAGGACGCUGGCCGUUCGGAUCGCAGCGCAAGUUCCUUCCCCUCCACCUUUCUCUGUUUUUCGUUUGGGCUUAGGGAUUUUUCCUAUUUUCGUAUAAGGACGCAGGUCGGGUGUGAACGGUGGUGCGUGGACGAGCAAAGGUGGCGGUGACGCGUGGGGAAGAAGGUUGACACUGUAGCGGAGUGAACCGUGUUCCGUUUCAUCAUUUUAGGGUUCCUGAUCUGGUUCUAGAAUUGGAAAUUUGGGGGUUUUGAUUCUGUGAGUUAGGGUUUUGAUUGUUCUUCAAUUUUAGGGGUUUCUAUUGUGUGGAAUUGCUGAUUUGAUUCCUUCUACAAUUUGAGACUUAGGGUUCCAGUCAAAUUGAAUUGGGGAUUUCUGGGAUUUGAUUCAUCUGUUUUCUUUGCAGAUCAAUCGCUAUAAUUUAGGAUUUCUGCGAUUGCAAAUUGUCCUUGCGAUUUGAUAAUUGAAAUUAGGGUUCUUGAACUUAAAAUUGGGAAAUUACAAUCUGCUCUUGCAAUUGGGGGUUAGGUUUUCAAAUGGGGAUUUUCGUUUCUGUUUUUGCGUUUCUGAUCUUAAAAGUUUUGAAUUCUUCGAAUCUGUUCUGUUGCAUCGUUGGGGUUUUGAUCCUGUUUUGAAUUUUCACGAUUGGAGAUUGCGAAUUUUUGUUAUGGGGUUGGUAUUGAUUGUGCGUUUUGGGAUCUAAGGUUCCCUAGUUGCUGCUGUUGGAAACACGAGUAGCGCCAGUGAAGGUUCUGGUUCUGGUGCGGACUGCCAUGGAAUCGCGGUGGUCGUCGUUGGCAAUUCUCUUCUGACCGAGGAACCCCUGGAAUUUUGGUUGGGCUUGGGUUGGACUGAUGGGCUUAUAGAACCCCUUUAUUAUGAAGUUUGGAAUGUUUAAUAAUAAGACAAAGAGAGAUGAGAAUAAUACGUUUAGGUUCGAAAAUUAAUUAAAAAGGAAGUUUGGUAAUACGAAUUAAUAAAAUUAAUCAAAAAGGGAAUUGGAAACUUAAAAUUUAUUAACAGCAUAACUAGAAAUAAAAGUUAGUGAGUUUGAUAAAGGAAAUAAUAUAACCUUAUUAAAUAGUCAAAUUAAUUAAGAUUAUAUUCAGGUAUCAGGAAUUAAUUUAUUCCAAAAAGAGAAGUAAUGAGACUUUAAUAAUGAAUUAAGGUAAUAAAUAAUUUAUUAAUUUGGAUUGACAUGGAAUGAUAUUUAUUUAUUGAUUUGGAAUAAUAUUCAUUUUAAUUAUUUAUUAGGAAUUAUAUUUAAUUAUUUAUUUAUUUAUUUAUUUGGGAUGAUAUUUAUUUAAUUAUUUAUUUGGAAUGAUGUCUAUUUAUUCAUUAUUUAUUUAUUUAAUUGUAAUUUAUUGUUGGAGUGAAACUCUGAAGAGUUUAGUCUAAGUACAUUAUAUUUUUGAAUAAGACGGUAGACAAUGAUGAAUGACCAGUAUUAGGUGGAGAGUGAGAAUGUUUGUUGUACUUAGAUAUAUACGUUGGAAUGAGUAAGUGUUGAGGUGUACCUGAAGAUGUAGUUGAUGAGCACAAGAGUGAAAGAUAGGUCCACUUUUUGUACCUAGUAAAGCCUGAGACUAUCGAUCGUCGAGAUAGCAACUUCCUUUGGCCUUGUGUGCGAAAAGGAAGUGCUCGGGUAUUGAGCCCUCCUUGUGUGGGGGUGAUGGUGUUUGCCUUGUCGUUGUGUGGCAGGAAACAUGUUCCUUAGCCAGGUAGGCGGGACUACUCGAGCAGACCUGUAGGAGGGGCUACAGGGGACUUGUGGGGAGGCCACAAGUUUGAGGUAGGGUACAGGAGUGUGACUGAUUCUUUUCACUAUGGAGUUAUGGUAUUGUGGAGGCUCACGGCGUGAUUCAUGAUGAAUGAUUCUUGAUGAGGUUAGUUGUGAUGGAGGUACGUGUAAUGUUGAUUCAUGAUGACGAUGUGAUGGGAAUUGAUGACGUGGAGGUUAUAGUCACAUUAUAGUUAACGAGGAUGUUGAGUAUGUUCAUGAUAUAGAAACAAUUAUGUGAGUAUGGGUAACAUUGUAUAUGAAUGGUACUAUUAUUAAGUUGUGAUUUCUUAUCUUGUACAUAUCCUUAUUGAUGUUGGUUGUGUUUAUAGUAGCUUACCCAUAUUUGUUUGUGUUUGUGGUUGUGUGUGUGUCUUGCGAUGAUCGUAUGACCUUGGUUAUACGGGAGCAGGGGGUGUAGCAGAUACUCCAGAUGCAUGAUAGCGACGUGAGAGUGGGGGACAACCUUGAUUUAUUUACAGCUUUGAGUUAUGAAUUUCAGAAAUAAUGUAAUUGGAUUAAUUUUUAUUUCUUGGUUAUCUUAUUAUUUUUGGAAUAUUGUAAGUGGAUUAUAUUUUUAUUUUUUGGUGAAGUUAGAACUUUAAUUGAAUUCCGCAAGAUUUGAAUGUCAAAAUUUUUAAUUGGCACUAUUUUUCGUGUUAAGAGGAUUUUGAAACAUUUUACUUUAAUUAUAAUUCGUGACAUCCUAAAUUGGGGUGUUACACAAAGGAAUCCUAAGCAACCAAGAACUAGAUCCCUAGGUAACUUUCUUCUCCACUUCUUCAAUGUGUUAUACUUUUUUCACUCCUAUAGAGACUAUUUUAAUUUUUUUUUAUAAUUUGUUCACAGUUGGUCAGCAAAUAAACUGUUUGAAGUGAGACAUGUCUCUUAAAGUGGAGAAAAAUUUGUUGUAAACAUAGAUGAAUAAGAAUGCUCCUGCAGGAGAUGGAGCAUCACAGGAAUACCAUGUUGUCACUCC